This 76-nucleotide transfer RNA is filed under the name bacterium. RNAcentral describes it as "tRNA-Glu". It matches the Rfam family "tRNA". From Rfam's summary of the family: Transfer RNA (tRNA) molecules are approximately 80 nucleotides in length. RNAcentral also lists the same sequence under 2 other names. The record is from RNAcentral.
GACCCUUUCAUCUAGUGGCCAAGGAUAUUGCGUUUUCAUCGCAAAAACAAAGGUUCAAAUCCUUUAGGGGUCGCCA